RNAcentral lists this ribosomal RNA (495 nucleotides) under uncultured bacterium. RNAcentral describes it as "partial 16S ribosomal RNA". It matches the Rfam family "Bacterial small subunit ribosomal RNA", at positions 28 to 507 of the family's 1533-position model. The record is from RNAcentral.
GACGAACGCUGGCGGCGUGCCUAAUACAUGCAAGUAGAACGCUGAAGGAGGAGCUUGCUUCUCUGGAUGAGUUGCGAACGGGUGAGUAACGCGUAGGUAACCUGCCUGGUAGCGGGGGAUAACUAUUGGAAACGAUAGCUAAUACCGCAUAAGAGUAGAUGUUGCAUGACAUUUGCUUAAAAGGUGCAAUUGCAUCACUACCAGAUGGACCUGCGUUGUAUUAGCUAGUUGGUGGGGUAACGGCUCACCAAGGCGACGAUACAUAGCCGACCUGAGAGGGUGAUGGGCGACACUGGGACUGAGACACGGCCCAGACUCCUGCGGGAGGCAGCAGUAGGGAAUCUUCGGCAAUGGACGGAAGUCUGACCGAGCAACGCCGCGUGAGUGAAGAAGGUUUUCGGAUCGUAAAGCUCUGUUGUAAGAGAAGAACGAGUGUGAGAGUGGAAAGUUCACACUGUGACGGUAGCUUACCAGAAAGGGACGGCUAACUACGUG